GUAGGUGGCAAGCGUUGUCCGGAAUUAUUGGGGCGUAAAGCGCGCGCAGGCGGCUCUUUAAGUCUGAUGUGAAAGCCCACGGGCUCAACCGUGGUGGGUCAUUGGAAACUGGAGAACUUGAGUACAGAAGAGGAAAGCGGAAUUCCACGUGUAGCGGUGAAAUGCGUAGAGAUGUGGAGGAACACCAGUGGCGAAGGCGGCUUUCUGGUCUGUAACUGACACUGAGGCGCGAAAGCGUGGGGAGCAAACAGGAUUAGAUACCCUGGUAGUCCACGCCGUAAACGAUGAGUGCUAAGUGUUAGGGGGUUUCCGCCCCUUAGUGCUGCAGCUAACGCAUUAAGCACUCCGCCUGGGGAGUACGGCCGCAAGGCUG
This 373-nucleotide ribosomal RNA is filed under the name uncultured organism. Its description in RNAcentral is "partial 16S ribosomal RNA". It matches the Rfam family "Bacterial small subunit ribosomal RNA", at positions 527 to 896 of the family's 1533-position model. The record is from RNAcentral.